This 73-nucleotide transfer RNA is filed under the name Acropora cervicornis. RNAcentral describes it as "tRNA-Thr". It matches the Rfam family "tRNA". From Rfam's summary of the family: Transfer RNA (tRNA) molecules are approximately 80 nucleotides in length. Their secondary structure includes four short double-helical elements and three loops (D, anti-codon, and T loops). The record is from RNAcentral. Lineage: Eukaryota; Metazoa; Cnidaria; Anthozoa; Scleractinia; Acroporidae.
GGCUUCAUAGCUCAGUUGGCUAGAGUGUCGCACUGGUAUCGCGAGGUCACGGGUUCAAACCCUGUUGAACUUG